This 390-nucleotide ribosomal RNA is filed under the name uncultured bacterium. RNAcentral's name for it is "bacterial SSU rRNA". It matches the Rfam family "Bacterial small subunit ribosomal RNA", at positions 28 to 419 of the family's 1533-position model. The record is from RNAcentral.
GAUGAACGCUGGCGGCGUGCUUAACACAUGCAAGUCGAACGUGAGGGGUAGCAAUAUCCUUGAAAGUGGCGCACGGGUGAGUAAUACGUAGGUAACCUGCCCUGGAGUGGGGGAUAACAGCUAGAAAUGGCUGCUAAUACCGCAUGAGGCCGAGACACUGGGAAGUGUUUUGGCGAAAACUCUGGUGCUUCAGGAGGGGCCUGCGGCCGAUUAGCUAGUUGGCGGGGUAAGAGCCCACCAAGGCAGUGAUCGGUAGCUGGUCUGAGAGGACGAUCAGCCACACGGGAACUGAGACACGGUCCCGACUCCUACGGGGGGGCAGCAGUGAGGAAUAUUGGGCAAUGGGCGGAAGCCUGACCCAGCAACGCCGCGUGGAGGAAGACGGCCUUC